GGUGGGAGACCGAUAGUGAACAAGUACCGCGAGGGAAAGAUCAAAAGCACUUUGAAAAGAGGGUGAAAAGAACCUGAAACUGUUACGAGGAAAGCGGAUUGCGUUGGAUUGAAAAGCUUUUUUGUGUGUUCAGCCUUUACUGGUGUACUCAUACGAAAAGGUUAACCAUCGUGGCUAUUUGACGACUGAUUUUGAGUUGUUGAAUGGUGAGGGAUCCCCUUUAUUGGGUGAGGACGAUGGUGUGACAACGCGAUACGACCCGUCUUGAAACACGGACCAAGGAGUCUAGCACAAUUGCGAGUCGAAUGGUGUGAAAACCUGAGGGCGCAGUGAAAGCGAAUCAUUUAAAAACGAUCAGUUUGAGGCGGCAUAAAAUCGUUGAUUUUAGGUCUGACCUAGAGCAGUUGUGCUGGGACCCGAAAGAUGGUGAACUAUACUUGAGUAGGGCAAAGCCAGAAGAAAUUCUGGUGGAGGCUCGCAGCGGUGCUGACGUGCAAAUCGCUCGUCGAACUUGAGUAUAGGGGCGAAAGACUCAUCGAACCAUCUAGUAGCUGGUUCCCUCCGAAGUUUCUCUCAGGAUAGCGGGCCGACAUGACGUUGUUUUGUGCGGUAAAGC
RNAcentral lists this ribosomal RNA (616 nucleotides) under Gastroclonium ovatum. RNAcentral describes it as "eukaryotic LSU rRNA". It matches the Rfam family "Eukaryotic large subunit ribosomal RNA", at positions 325 to 1014 of the family's 3401-position model. Lineage: Eukaryota; Rhodophyta; Florideophyceae; Rhodymeniales; Champiaceae. The record is from RNAcentral.